RNAcentral lists this ribosomal RNA (496 nucleotides) under uncultured bacterium. RNAcentral describes it as "partial 16S ribosomal RNA". It matches the Rfam family "Bacterial small subunit ribosomal RNA", at positions 29 to 507 of the family's 1533-position model. The record is from RNAcentral.
AUGAACGCUGGCGGCGUGCCUAAUACAUGCAAGUCGAGCGAACGGACGAGAAGCUUGCUUCUCUGAUGUUAGCGGCGGACGGGUGAGUAACACGUGGAUAACCUACCUAUAAGACUGGGAUAACUUCGGGAAACCGGAGCUAAUACCGGAUAAUAUUUUUAACCGCAUGGUUCAAAAGUGAAAGACGGUCUUGCUGUCACUUAUAGAUGGAUCCGCGCUGCAUUAGCUAGUUGGUAAGGUAACGGCUUACCAAGGCAACGAUGCAUAGCCGACCUGAGAGGGUGAUCGGCCAAACUGGAACUGAGACACGGUCCAGACACCUACGGGAGGCAGCAGUAGGGAAUCUUCCGCAAUGGGCGAAAGCCUGACGGAGCAACGCCGCGUGAGUGAUGAAGGUCUUCGGAUCGUAAAACUCUGUUAUUAGGGAAGAACAUAUGUGUAAGUAACUGUGCACAUCUUGACGGUACCUAAUCAGAAAGCCACGGCUAACUACGUG